CGGUCAUUCAAGUAAAGUACUAUAAUACAAUCGAGUCUUUAUGGGAUAAACUAUAAUAAAAUUGAGUCUAAUGUAAAACUAUUAAAUAAGUAAAGACUCUUGAUGUCUUGCAAAUUUUCGACUGUAGGUAAACUAUUAAGAAAAGAAAAAGAUAUAAAUAGUAAAUUUAAAUCGUAUGAAUCGUAUGAAUAAUAUUGGCGAACAAAAAAGUAUCACAUUAUGUCGAGGAACAGUUGUAAAAUGCUAUAAGAAAGAAUAAAAAUGUAUCGAAAAUAUAACACAAAAGAAAUCAUGAAAUAACUCGGUGCAAUCCCAAUAAAAGAUGCAAAC
RNAcentral lists this long non-coding RNA (330 nucleotides) under Mytilus galloprovincialis (Mediterranean mussel). The record is from RNAcentral. Lineage: Eukaryota; Metazoa; Mollusca; Bivalvia; Mytilida; Mytilidae.